CCAAAUUCACAUUGUCAAUCCUGGAUUAAACAAACUUGCUGCAAAACAACCCCAAAAUCGUCUUCUUCCGAUAAAGAAACCCCAUCGAGAGUGAAAUCUCGGUACCCGAAAUCGACACAGACACGACUAUUUUGUUUUUGAGGAUUUAUUUGAAGAACCGAUGUUGUUUUGGGUUCUUUUUGAUCUGGUUAAUCUCGGAUUCUGGCUAGGACUUCAACUAGGUGCUCUACGGGUGGUUCUGCUGUGAGAUCAGUUGCAGAUAGAGAUUUGGGCUUGGGGGCGAUGAGAGUUAGAGAGAGAGAGCCAUUACCCACCCACCUACACCAUGAUGGCUUCAGAUUUGGAUGGUGGAUGGGGGGUGCGGGUGGGUAUGGCUAGUGGUGGGUUUGGAUGGUUAUGGAUGAUGAUGGGGUGGUUGGUUGCAGAAAGAAGAUAAAGGAGAAAGGAUUUGGAGAUAGGGAUGGUGGAUGGUAAAGGUGGGCAUCAAAACCGGAAUAUCGAAACCAUCCCAAAACCGUGCCAAAUCGUGCCAAUCUCGUGUUGUCUCGUUUGGUGUUGACGUGUAAACGGGAUGAUAUCGUGUCAUCCCGUUACUGUUUGGCACGACAUCGGUUCCACAUUUAUGAUCUCCGUUGGUGUCAGAGGGACGGACCCUUAGUUAAUUUUAUGAUCUCGGUUGGUAUCCUAAUUUAAUUUUAGUUCCACCCCUACUCUCCACGUAUAUUUCUUCGACUCCUCUUUGUUUCUCUUGUUAAGAUUUCAGAGGGACGGACCCUUAGCCCACCGCUAGCAACAUUGAUAUUGUCCCCAACUUAACCACUUGUUUAGUAGGUAUAGAGUUUUAUACAAAAGGUCUCGAUGUUAUUAAGAGUGGAACCAUUUAUUAUAUGAGACUUUCUAUUUUGUUAAGUUUCCGAUGUGGGAUUCGUAUAUUCUUCAACAUCUCUACGUCCUUUCCUGUCCUUUCCUUUGUCUAAUUCUUCUCUUCUCUUCUCUUCUCCUUUCCUUUCCUUUCAUUUCCUUUCCUUUCCUCUGUUUUAUUUUAGCUUGAGCAUUUAUACUGGUGAUUUGAGUGUUAUAUGGUUGUUUGCUUCAUUGGCAGGUAAGGAUGUUGAUUCUGAGACCAAAGUGAAGAGCAUUGAGGCUGAUUUAAAGAUUCUAAAGUUGCAGGUCUGUUGUGUUUUAAAACAAAUUUAAUUACCAUUUUUCUUUUUAGUUGAAGGGUCUUCCCGAUUAUUUUUCCUUUUUAAGUGCUUUCGUUAUUUGGGUAUCAGAAUUGGCAAAUCAAUCUUGUAUUAUCA
This 1301-nucleotide long non-coding RNA is filed under the name Prunus persica (peach). RNAcentral describes it as "long non-coding RNA (PPER_LNC005388)". Lineage: Eukaryota; Viridiplantae; Streptophyta; Magnoliopsida; Rosales; Rosaceae. The record is from RNAcentral.